AGUGAAAACGAUCUGAUACACAAGUUUAAAACUUAGUUCUAAUAACUUUUUGGCGCUUAAAAGUAACGCGAAGAGUUCUAUAUAAAUUCGAGUUGUUCGACGGUAACGGAAAGGUGGAGGAGUGGCGCAACGAACAUUUUAAACAAAAAGCAGAUGGUUGCGACACCGGACGGAGACAUAACAACUGCAGCACAAGUUAUUCGACACCAGGAUGUCUCUGUCUAGAAAGAAUCGACUCUGAUUCGGCUCUUCCCUCUAGCGGAAAACAAUCGUGGAGAAAUUCGAUUACAAAAAAUGGGAAUAAAAAAAAUAAAUACAAAAAAAAACCGACGGGCAAGCCACGCGACACACGUGUUGGCUAUUCCACCCUUCGAUCGCUGCUAACUGCCUUAUACGCCAGUCGAGGAUCGUAUUUCUCUGGUGUAUACUUUACGCACAAUAAUCUAUAACUAAAGUGUACGUGUUGGUCACGCCCCACUCCUGUUAACGUCGCGUGGCUUAAUUACGUACCGUGUUUGGGGCAACAUCCGAUCGGCUAAAGCUUCCAUUUUCGACAAGAUGGGGUCGGCCAUAUCGUUCUAUUCUUCUACACUCCGCUAGGCUAUUUACCGCUGCUGUUCUAAGCGAGACACUCGACAGUUAUCAAAGCUACGGGGAGGGAAAGGGGAAACGUUCUGCCCAAAGUUCAAGCCGUCCCGAUAACGGAGUGCGGAACGUCGUGUAUCAGCAGUUCAGCUCCGCUUUCGAUACACUAUGUGCGUGUCUGCGUCAUUGAAUAGAAUGAAUGGCAGCAACAAUUUGGACGGAAAAUUGAACGAAAACAAACAGGGGAUAAAAAAAAAAUAGUCGUAGAGAAGGAAAGUAAACAGUUCCGUCAAUUUAUUAUACAGAAAAAGUGCUAUUAUUUGAAUGGAGAAGCUUUAUCAGUAAUAUACCACUACAGUACUCGAAAGAAACAUCACCAUUGGCGGACCGGAAUAACUUCCGAUAUACACCAGGAGAAAGGACAGAACCGGAAGAGAGCUAAAUUAGUCAAGUAUUACUCCGCUCUCGUGUAAUAGUGUAUCUAGAUAAGUGCAGGCCACUUCUGUCGCGAUCUGGUCAGAACUGAUGACGUUCAUGCGCGGAUUAAGUGCCUUUUCGUUCGGAAGAAAAAUCGCAGAUAGAAUAGAACUUCGCAUCUAACAUUCACCCGAACUCGAACGAAUGGAAGAGCGGAAAAAAAGCCGGUAUUAACCAUCUGCCCACUCCAUUAACAAAGGAUGCAAUCGAAGUGUUCUCGACGUACGACUCUCGACGGGAAAGAAAGACGGGGGUGGCAGAAACAACAAUUACCGGUGAUCCAGACGGUCAAUAGCGCUUCCCCAUCCAAUUAAGCCCCAGAUGAAGUGGAAUCGAACGGGCAUAUUGACGAAUUGGCCGACAGUGUCUUUGUCCCAAUCAACUUCUACCUAUGGGCGGUUUUUACCUCUGGCGGACUGCCCACCUCCUCUUCGAUCCACUGCAGAAAAGACGUAAACUGGCUGGGCCAGGUCGCCGGGCCAUUUUAUCAACUGUGCUUAAGACUGUCUCAUUAAAAUAACGCGAAUGAACGAGCAGCCUCGGCACCUUUAACGAGAAAAUCAUCUCAAUACGCCCGUAAUAGCUGACGACUAUAUGUUCUUUUGAGAGUCUUCUAGCAAACUCCGAUAGUUAUUUUAAUCGAUAUCGACUCGGAUAUUAAAUAGUUCGAUUCCAUCGACAGAAACGUUUGUUAAAUUUUCUUUUACUUCCACAAAUUUGGAUUAAACUUAAUCGCCGUUUAAAAACGAAAAAAAUCUAAAUUUAUGCUGGAGCUAUCUCGGAAAGUGGAUGGAGACGUUUUAGCUCGACCAGUCCGUUUGGAUGUUUCUGGAAAUCCCCAAACGGGGGCCGAACGAAUGGCAGUUGUGAAAUCUGAACGGGUACCGCCGCAGCAAUAAUCGAUUAAUUCCGGCAGCGGAAAGAAAGAGGUCAUUAUAAAUAAUUAACCGGUUUAAUAGCGCCAUAAAACGGGGCGUAGAGAUUUUUGAUCCUUUGACAGACCGGGGCCAAUGAGGUAAUUACUCGGCAAAUGGAAUUCGAAGGACGAGCAUCGCCAUCCUCCCGAGAAGAGCAAUCUGCUUGGACUCGCAGUCCACACAAUUAGUGGAGAGUGUGAAUGACCAGGUUGUGAUGAAGCUCGGCGGGGAAUGCCGACUCCAUUCCUUCUAUUAUGUAUUAACUCUUCCUCCGUUUGGAACUCCGUGUAAUUAGGAAACUUUACAAGGACUGCGCUAAGAAUAACUCUCUUUGUAUCCCUUCCACCGAUGGAAUUCGUCUCGUUAAUUUACGAAAAUAUUCGGAAAAUUAAAUUUUCAUAAAAGUUUCUCUCGACUAACGCCGUUUCAAUUAACCUUAUAUGAAUUAUCAAUCAACAACUGAGAAUCGCUUAUUUUCAAGUCAGAAAUAAGAAACAGAAUAGCGACAGAAACUUCGAUUUUGGCGAAAACCUAACGGAGGCAAGCGAAAACAAAGAGAAAGUAGGAAACUCUGGAAAGAAUGAAAAAUCAGUUUCUUUUUGCUCGCAUUUUUGAUGGACACUAUAUGAAUAAGUGCAGAGCGGGCAUCUUAACUUAUUCCGCCUCUAGAAGAAAGGCGAAGAGCAAAAGCCAUCGAUUGUUUGCCAACUACAACACGACAUACAUAUUUCACCGGCCAGUUAGUCCGACUGCGUGAACGCUGAUAGAUUACGUUGGUAGCCAAGCCUGGCUAGUUGGCGAUCGAAUCCCUCUACUCAAACUUAGUUAUCACGGUAAUCUGCUGCCUGUCAGAAUUAAAGCUCCUCCCGCUGUCUCUCCACCUGCGCCACAUCUCGGGUCUUUUGUCUCUCUCUCUCUUUUUUCCCCUCGCUCUUUCUUCUUGUCCAACCUAGAGGUACUUAGUAUUUGUCCCGUGACUAACGGAUGGCCGAGAUAACCUGGGCUGGAUCACAUACGUAUCUUGGUAAAACGCGCAUCGUCUUUCAAAAUUCAUUUAUCGAACGACUGAAAUCGAUGAGACCGACCGAACUAACGCCCUUUUACAUUCGAUUAGCAUCUUUUGACCUAAUUUAGCGUAGUUGUUAGAAAAAUUCUCAAAGCAUAUUAUUCGUCAUGCCCCAUCAAUUUUUCUCUCGUAAUACUAUAAAGACAAUUUUAGGCGAGGAAACCCGCCUCUCUCGCUCACCCGUUUCUCCUGAAUAUUUCAGAAGAUGAAAGGAAAUAAAGUUGUAGCGCUUCCUAACCAAUAUGAGACUUUUAAUUUUUCAAUACAGUGGCCAAAUUCCAAUUCAAUCGGAUAAAUAAAUGUUAAUUUUGAAUCCGAUUGUCCCACCUUUGUCCACAUUCGAGAAAUGGUCUUAAUUAUAUCCAUCUAUCUGUGGCCAUUCCUCACGCUUGAUCACAUUCACUCUACGAUUAUUAUUCGAAUGGCAUAUAUUUAAUGUCGCAUGAAUCCGCUUUUAUUUCUUGGUAAGCAUUAUUGUAAACGUCGCUAUAACUUAAAAUUACCAACCAAAAGAAAAAAAAUUAAAAUCUAAAUCAGAUUAAAUUAUGUGACGAUAAUGAGCAAUCAUUUUUUUCUUCUUCUCUGUGACUGGUUGAGUUACUAAUUACAAACUAUGCGGCAGCGGGCGAAAAUAUUUCUCAUCGCGGGUAUCCAAUGCCUACGAAUGGAGAGAACAGAGAAAUAAAAAUUAAAGAUCAACGAGCCGUGCCCGGAUUCCGCUGAAAAAUUAAGAAAUACGACGAAUAGAAAUUGAUCGUGGGAUUUCCAGAAAGAAAGACCGAAGCGUAGCCGUGUUAAACUAAACCAAUUUAAAAUGAUUUUUUUUAAUAAUAAAUAUCGGUAUAUUUAUAAUUCUUACCGCGACACCCGUCUAAAAAAGCUGUUGUGCCACAAUUUUCUUAAUUAUUAAAAGCUGUCACCUUGCAGUAUUUUAAAAAAAAAUAGCAAUAUUUAACAGCAAAAAAGCGAUAUUAUGCUGUUUAAAAAAAUAAGUAUUGAUUCGGCCAAUAAAUGGGGGUUCCUACGCUGGCGGUUUCUUUUUCGUCGUUGGACAAAACACGAAAAGAAUCUUCCAGAAAUUAGUAUUUUUAGGAUUUUGGAAUUUGGAUCGAUUACCGAAAGGAAAAUGUGCAUUUUCAACUGGCUGAACCCAAACCCGACUAAAGUGGGUCUCAUUUUGCAGAAUUAAGUUGUCCAAAUGGAUUUUGACAACUCCUUGUUGCUGUCACCAGCAGAAGUGUAAUUGAAAAAACAAAAGGAAAGUAAUGGAACGAUGCCCUUCAGAGGAGAAAAAGGGGAAGAGGGAGAGAAAAAAGUGCAUUUGCAGAAUUAAGAUGGAACGUGAUGGGGGAAAAGUGCUUUCGCGCCAAUAAUGCAUUUUAGGUCUCCUCUUUUUUGACUCAGCCGCAUGUUUCGAGUAACGUAUAAAGAGGAAAUAACGAGACUCUUACGGUGUCAUUACUAAAGAACUUCCUAUUAAAUAAAUCGCCAUAAUUGACAAGUCCAAUCGCGCUUGCUUUAAGUCUAUUUGAAAGCGUGGUUGGAUCGAUACGAGCUGCCAAAUAUUCAGUGAUUCCAAGCACCCAUGCUUAAUGAAAAUUUGUACAUGUGUGUAUAUAUGUGUAUAAAGAAAAAAAAUGUGGGGAAAAGGAGAUUGAGCAUAUGGUGUGCAGUCACCGUUAGAAUACCAAACGAAGCAGAACAGGCCAGAACUGUUGGGCCUGGUUGAAUAAAUGAUGCGUAGAUUCACGUGACAAGGCGAUCCUAUUUCCCGCCUUACCGUCAAGUCUCGUUAGAUAACAUGGAAAAACACAUGUAAGUCUUUGAAGAGCUUCGACCGCCCUACUCGACCCGACAGACACAUGCUGAAAGUCGGGAUACUGUAAAUCGUUAUUCAAUCGAUAAGAAAGAAAAGGGUGGGUGGAGAAAAGUAGGUUAGCACCAGCGUUGUAUGGGCCCGAUCAUUUAGGAGAGGGAGAGAGAGAAAGAGAGAGAGACUGCAACGACCAAGAAGAAAAAAGCGGGUAUUCUGCAACGAUGCUAAAGAAAACUCUCCAGUUGUGACGACCAAUCUCGAACGGAUUCAAAAUCAAUCAACCAGCUAUGUCUGUAAGAGAUUGUUGUACUGGAAGUGGAGAGUCUUCCUUUCUCUUUCAUUGAUGUCCACAUUAAUGACAGCACGCACAUCUCUCCUUUCAAAUUACGUUUAUUCCAGUUAAAAUCUCUACAAAUAAAUAUUAAAAGACACAGAUUUAUCUUUAGAUAUAAAAAUAAACAUACAAACAUACUUUAUAGCUUUAUUGAUAAUAUUCAAAAAUAUUUCAAUAACUUUUCUACUUUUACAUAAAUGUAUACUGCAUAUAUUCAAAUUUAAAUCUAGCAGAAACUAAAUUACUCGUCAC
Molecule: long non-coding RNA, 5447 nt
Filed under: Androctonus crassicauda
Lineage: Eukaryota; Metazoa; Arthropoda; Arachnida; Scorpiones; Buthidae
Source: RNAcentral